UACGUAGGGCGCAAGCGUUGUCCGGAAUUAUUGGGCGUAAAGAGCUCGUAGGCGGCUUGUCACGUCGGAUGUGAAAGCCCGAGGCUUAACCUCGGGUCUGCAUUCGAUACGGGCUAGCUAGAGUGCGGUAGGGGAGAUCGGAAUUCCUGGUGUAGCGGUGAAAUGCGCAGAUAUCAGGAGGAACACCGGUGGCGAAGGCGGAUCUCUGGGCCAUUACUGACGCUGAGGAGCGAAAGCGUGGGGAGCGAACAGG
This 253-nucleotide ribosomal RNA is filed under the name uncultured bacterium. RNAcentral's name for it is "partial 16S ribosomal RNA". It matches the Rfam family "Bacterial small subunit ribosomal RNA", at positions 524 to 776 of the family's 1533-position model. The record is from RNAcentral.